UGCAAUGAAACUGUUGGUGG
RNAcentral lists this unclassified non-coding RNA (20 nucleotides) under Chlamydomonas reinhardtii. RNAcentral describes it as "small RNA Cre_2996". Lineage: Eukaryota; Viridiplantae; Chlorophyta; Chlorophyceae; Chlamydomonadales; Chlamydomonadaceae. The record is from RNAcentral.